Molecule: ribosomal RNA, 223 nt
Filed under: Citrobacter rodentium
Lineage: Bacteria; Pseudomonadati; Pseudomonadota; Gammaproteobacteria; Enterobacterales; Enterobacteriaceae
Description: partial 23S ribosomal RNA
Rfam family: Bacterial large subunit ribosomal RNA
Source: RNAcentral
GUUGUCAUGCCAAUGGCACUGCCCGGUAGCUAAAUGCGGAAGAGAUAAGUGCUGAAAGCAUCUAAGCACGAAACUUGCCCCGAGAUGAGUUCUCCCUGAGACCUUGAGUCUCCUGAAGGAACGUUGAAGACGACGACGUUGAUAGGCCGGGUGUGUAAGCGCAGCGAUGCGUUGAGCUAACCGGUACUAAUGAACCGUGAGGCUUAACCUUACAACGCCGAAG